Molecule: ribosomal RNA, 200 nt
Filed under: uncultured bacterium
Lineage: Bacteria
Description: partial 16S ribosomal RNA
Rfam family: Bacterial small subunit ribosomal RNA
Source: RNAcentral
AGCGAACGCUGGCGGCAGGCCUAACACAUGCAAGUCGAACGAACUCUUCGGAGUUAGUGGCGGACGGGUGAGUAACACGUGGGAACGUGCCUUUAGGUUCGGAAUAACUCAGGGAAACUUGUGCUAAUACCGAAUGUGCCCUUCGGGGAAAGAUUUAUCGCCUUUAGAGCGGCCCGCGUCUGAUUAGCUUGUUGGUGGGG